Molecule: ribosomal RNA, 652 nt
Filed under: Capsicum annuum
Lineage: Eukaryota; Viridiplantae; Streptophyta; Magnoliopsida; Solanales; Solanaceae
Description: eukaryotic LSU rRNA
Rfam family: Eukaryotic large subunit ribosomal RNA
Source: RNAcentral
GAUCGUUUGAUUCUGAUUUGUAGUACAAAUACAAUUAGUGGAACCAUAUCCUAACUACCUUUAGACCUUUGAAAUUUGAAGCUAGAGGUGUCAAAAAAUUUACCACAGGGAUAACUGGCUUGUGGUAGCCAAACGUUCACAGCGAUGUUGCUUUUUGAUCCUUCGAUGUAGGCUCUUCCUAGCAUUGGGAAGCAAAAUUCACCAAGUUUUGGAUUGUUCACCCACCAAUAGGGAAUGUGAGCUGGAUUCAGACCAUUAUCAGACAGGUUAAUUUUACCCUACUGAUGACAGUGUUGGAAUAGUCACUCAUCCUAGUAUGAGAGGAAUCAUUGAUUCGCACAUUUGGUUAUCAUGCUUGGUUAAAAAGCCAGUGUAACGAAGCUAUCAUGUGAUGGAUUAUGAAAGAAUCCCUCUAAGUUAGAAUCUGGGCUAGAAGCAAUGCAUGUGCCCUCCAUUAACUUGCCGACCCACAGUAGGUGCCUCGUCCCCCAAAGGCACGUGUCGUUGGGUAAGCCAUUGUGGCGAAAGGGUUGCGGUGGCUACCUUUAAGUACAAUUUUCAUCGAGCAGUGGGUAGAAUCCUUUGAAGAGUACUUAAAUAUGCAAUAGGGUAUUGUAAGUGGUAGAGUGGCCUUGCUGCCACGAUCCACUGA